RNAcentral lists this long non-coding RNA (5966 nucleotides) under Sus scrofa (pig). Its description in RNAcentral is "lncRNA (ENSSSCG00005039961.1)". The record is from RNAcentral. Lineage: Eukaryota; Metazoa; Chordata; Mammalia; Artiodactyla; Suidae.
CCUUUUCUAGGGCCACACCCGUGGCGUAUGGAGGUUUCCAGGCUAGGGGUCUCAUCGGAGUUGUAGUUGCUGGCCAAAACUACAACCACAGCGACCACGUGUGCGACCUACACCACAGCCCAUGGCAACGCGGGAUCCUUAACCCACUGAGUGAGGCCAGUGAUCGAACCCACAACCUCAUGGUUCCUAGUUGGAUUCGUUAACCACUGAGCCACAACAGGAACUCCAGGAACUUCUUUACACCAAGAACCACCAGGCAUGAAGCCAGACAAGGGACAAGGUUGUUGAGAGUGUAUAUAAGAAAGUGAUAUGAUUCAACAUGAAAUUUCAGUUGGGUAGAAGUGAGAGUGAGGGACACUGAAAAGCUUAUAUGGAUAAACAAUGUGCAAGUUUCAGUGGGGCUGAAGAGCUGCUGAAACUCAAAUACAGGGUGGCUGAAUCACACUGAAAAAUAAGCUCACUUGGAGAAGAAAUCAAGGAACUAAGAGGUCAGAAUAUGGGAAGCAUCCUCUACAUCAGUAUUACUCAAAGGAACAGACCAAGACACCCUAAGGAGCUUGUGCCAGAUUAUAUCAAUCAACACAUUGAUUCCUUCAUCAAAAGUUUUGCUAUAAAAAAAGUCAGCUGAAUUCAACAGUGAACUUAAUGACAUAAGUGAUAUACAUUUGGGCACAAACUCCUUACUGCAAUUCAUACUGGUUCACAGAUCAGGUGACAUUUCAGAGUAUCACUGCUCUAAUGGCACUGAUAUCACUAAGAACCAAGAAUUACAACAGAAAUAAAGACGACAGUGAGUCAGAACUAACAGCAUUCAAGGAAAGAGGGGAAUGACCCAGGAAAGUUGGCAGAUGACUGAAAUAAAGAGGGGUCCUGGGUGUAUAAUUUGACAGAAUGAGUGUCAAAGUUUUGGAAAAGAAUGGUCAAGAAAUGACAAUGAGAUAUAAGGAAGACACUCUACCUCUUGGUUCAGCAAUAAAAGAUGUGCAAAAGGAAACAUUUACCACUUGAGAGAGCUCCCAGGUCAGCAGCACUAUCAGGGGAGAGGCUAGGAUUCAGCUGGAGCAAGAAAGAGAAGGAAAUAUUCCCGGACAGACUGACAAUAAAAAGGAUUUGCUAAGGACUAUGAGUUCCAGAAGGCACAUGAAUAGAUUCAGGAAAUUAUAAAAUGUAGGAGAUGAAGACAAAAAAAGCCAAUGGGAUUAGAGUCUGGAGGUAUAAGGGCUAAUGCACACAGAAGAGCGAGGCAAAAAUAAAGAACAAAGCCCUUGAAAAGGCAUUUGUUAGGCCUGGCCUCUGACUAGACUAUAAUGCUCCCUCCAAUAUAACAAUGGACCCUCCAUGCAGAUUGAUGAUAAGGAGGUGAAGGAGGGGACAGGACUAGUUUGAGGAGCAAAGAGAAGGCUGACAGUCUUCCUGUCUUAGGGCUUUCUAGAGAAACGUAAUAUGAUCCGGGGUAUAAUGGUAAUAAGGAGAAACCUGAGGCCCUUUAGCAUAUAGUCAGGGCAUUCUUCAAACAUGAUUCAAGAAUGUUAAAAAAAAAAAAAAAAUCCAAUUUUACAUGCAGAAGUUCCUGGGCCAGGGAUCAAACCUGGGCCACAGCAGUAAUCCGAUCCAAAGCAGGGACAAUGCUGAGUCCUUAAACAAGAGGCUACCAGGGAACUCCCCAACUUUAGUAUUUUGACUAUCAUUAUUCUGCCUUAUGAGUGACUUCCAGGCUUCUAAUCUCUUUCUAGCCUCUUACUUUUCAUUCUAUGGGAAAUAGACUGGCUGGCCCUCUGACUCAGGACCUAGCAAAAACACCAUCAGAAGGCAGGAAACAGUGACCUACACAGGACAACUACCAGAAACAAAAUGUAUUUUACUACAUAAAUGGACUACAGAGAACACUCAAAACCAAAGGGAGAAUAAUAUUGGAGUUCCUUCUGUGGCUCAAGAGGUUAAAGACCCAACGCUGUCUCUGUGAGGAUGCAGUGGGUUAAGGAUUCACCACUGUCGUAAGCUGUGGGGGAGGCUACAGAUGCAGCUCAGAUCCAAUGCUGCCAUGGCUGUGGUGAAUACCUCAGCUGCAGCUGAUUCCAUCCCAAGCCCAGGAAUUUUCAUAUGCCACAGGUGUGGCAGUAAAAAAAAAAAAAAGAUAUCAAAUUUAAAAAUUAAUAAAAUAAAAACUAAACAAACUUUAAAACAACUUUUAAAUUAAGCAAAAUGCAAGAAAGACUAAACCUUAUGACUAUCUAAAGAGUACUAUGUCAGCACAUUAUGUUUUUUAUAUAACAUUUAUUUUGUGUCUACUUUUGUAUCUAACUGAACUGUUAGGUAGAAAGUAAGCUCUGACAUUGCUACAUUCUUUCAGUAGCUCAUGAAAGAUUUUAAGUGUCCACCUCAGCACUUUCUACACAAGAGAACAGAACUCUACUUGAAAAUCUCCAUAGUUAGUUGCACUGAAAAAUACUUGAAGAAACUCUUGUUCCUCCCUUACACAUGUGUCAUUCAUCUAGUAUAUGGAAAACUUCAAAGACAGACUCACUCCCUACACCCUUACCUCCAAACCACUUCAUUAUACUUACCCCCAAACCACUUCAUUAUACUUUAAAAAAGAAUGGAGUGAGCUUCACAACCAUGCCAUAGUGAAGCAAAUCACAAUCAAUAAGAUCAUCUUCAGCAGUUCCCGUCGUGGCUCAACGGUUAAUGAACCCGACUAGGGACCAUGAAGUUGCGGGUUCCAUCCCUAGCCUUGCUCAGUGGGUUGAGGAUCCAGCGUUGCUGUGGGCUGUGAUGUAGGUGCAGACAUGGCUCGGAUCCCUUGUUGCUAUGGCUCUGGCUUAGGCCAGUGGCUACAGCUCCAAUUAGACCCCUAGCCUAGGAACCUCCAUAUGCCUAGAAAAGGCAAAAAAAGGACAAAAAAUAAAAAUUAAAAAAAUCAUCCUAAGAAAUUUUGCAGUAAAUCUAACUUCUCACAUUUUUAUAUGGAUAAUGUACAAUAAAGUGUGUGUGUACAUAUGUAUCACAAUUAUUUUAGCUACCAUAAAAUCCUGUUAAUGAAUUUAUUAACUAACCCUUUAGCACGAGCACAUCUUUUACUUUCAAGCAUAUCAGCGACCAGCAUUUACGAUUUAUCAAAUACCAUUUGUAUGCCAUGAGAACUGAUGAACUUGAAAGAAUUUUAAAGAGCUUAAAAAUAUCUCCUCCAUCCCCAAUUUUUAACUAAUUACCUAACACAUCUGUUAAAUCAGUUAAAAACAUCAGUCCAGCAACAUGUGAGUUUUGGAAUCACGAGUAAAACCAUGGAAAUAGUAGUGAAGAAAUAGAUGGAAAUGAACAGGGAAACAAAUGGGCACUGCUAUGAAGCAUUAUCCAGCUGUUUACACUCUUCAAACUGUUGGGGGGGGGUGGCUUUUCAACAAGUUCAAAAGAAAAGAGGCAGGAAAUUUCUGGAUUGCUACAAGAGAAACUUUACAGUGGCUCUGUAAAGUUAUAUGAGAUUGUGGGACAGGCCAAGGGGUGACACCUCUAGGAUAAAUGUUUUGUGAAAAGCACCCCGAUCAGUUUGACUUGCAUUCUAUUCCAUAUCAUAUAAAAACAACUGCAGUCUACAGCACUAUUUUCAGUAUGACGUUUUUUUAAAACCAACUCUGGCCUAUGCUUUGCACUGUCAGUUCAAACACAAUUUACCAUUUAAACAUGUAGUGUGAAGACUAAAUACCCAAGCUCUCAAAUUCUGGAAAUGAAAAACCUUGUCCUAGCUGUAAAAGAUUCAACCAAUAUCUAUUUAAUUGCCUGCAUAAACUGAUUCUGGUCAAAUAGGAAGAAGCCACUAAUUUAAAUAAAACUAAUACUCAAUUAAUUUUUCACUAUCUAAACUUUGUUUUUCAGUUUUCGAUCAGUCUGGUAAUAGUUAAUCACAGAAAUGCAGACUUUGGCUGAAAACCAGAACAGAGUUUAAAGACAUCAAUAAAAUUUCAGGCUGACAUAACUCUGUGCACACAGCCAGAAUUUGUCCAGUAUUUUAAGUGUCUUCAGAGAUUAAGUUUUGAGCCCUCUUUUAAGAAUGCACUUUUAAAAACUGUAUUUAAGAUGAUUAAGUAAUGAACAAGUUAUUUCUCCUCCUUUUCCUUGACCCAAUCUGUCCUAUUCCUAAACUCAGAAGUGUGGGUUUCUCAGAUUUCACAAAGUUAAUAAUGGAACCUAUUUUAAGUUCCAAAUCUAUAAUUAAUUGAUACAAGGCAUUUUUCAAGUGCCAGAUAUAAACCUAAUAGUUUAAUAAGUCUUACUUCCUAAAUUAUACAUAUAUAUACACAUAGUGUGUAUACACAUACACAAUUAUUACCUUUAUUCAUUUAGCAGAAUUAUAAACAACUACUCUAAAUGGACUACUACAGAUGUUACAAACUGGCAGUAUCUUGCCAACAGAUGUAUUUAAUUUGUGUUAAAACAGUGUCUUAAAACACAAAUUUCAUUCACCAAUGUGUGCAAAUUAUGGGAUGCACAUUAAUCUGGAUUUCCUGUUACCUUAGAGAAAAUAAACUUUCAGAUGAUGUGGAAACGUAAAGUACUUUCCCACACAAUGGCUGGAGCUGAAGACUGGUUGCUUAGAUGAGAAGUGUCCUCCAAUUUGUUGUAGUCCACAGGGUCCCCAUACCUGCCUGGCCCAGGAGACAGUGAGUAGCUACUCCCACUGCCAUGUAAGAUCAAUCCUCUAUGGUUUAUGAUAGCAAUCUUACUUUAGUUACUUAUCCUGAAUGUCAAAGUGUUGUAUGCUACACAAAUGAAGACAAGUAUCCAAUUUCUAAGAGAUAAAUUAGGUCCCUAAGAGGUGGAAUUUUUUUUUAAGUAAAAUGUACAUAAUUUUCAAAUUUUCUCAUAUCUCAUAAAAAUCUUGGAAAAUUGUAAAUAUGCUAUUUGACCUACAGACAAUAAAUGCUUCCAAUACUAGUUAUGGACUUGGACAUUAUUUAUUCCAUAUAGGAUCCUUUAUGAAAGAUCACAGCUCACUCUAAAAUAGCCAUUUACAUAGAACAAUUGAGGCAUUCUUGCUUUAUUUUUUAAAAAAGAUAACAAAAAUAUAUUUCUUAGUCAAAAGACAUUAACAGUAUUUCCACAAAAUUAUACUGAAUUCCAAGAGCAAAAUGGAUCAGUAAGUGAUACUCCCCCCAUCAACCUCUAAAUUUCAUUUCAACCACCUAUUUAUGGAAAACAAAGUUGAAAAAUUUUUUUCUAAACUCUGAUAAUUUUUCAUAAAAUGGCCAUGUGACUUCUAAAAGCUAUUUUAAAAUAGGCCUUAUUUCUGUUACUAAUCAGAAUCUGAUUUGACAAAAGUAUUCUCAUAAAAGAAUGCUAUUAAUAGAAAGAGCACGAACUUUAACAAAGAAGCACAGAAGAAGGUUUUUAUUGAAAAAUUUAAAGGGCAAAAUAUUGGUAUAGUGUAUCACAACACUAUACAAACGAGAACCUAUAGUAACUAGGCAUUAUACUCCAGAAUUCACACAAGUUGACUCAAGAGCGUCUAGCUUUGUUGAUAUCCAGUUCUUAAUGGACAUAAUAUUCCCAGAAAAUAUAAGAGUUGAGGACUUACUCAUAUUUUACUGUGUAACAGAUUUUAGACAAAUUAACAAUUCACUUCUUUGUUACCUUUUUCUGAGACUUUUAGUUUCUAUAAUUCAUUAAUAUGGAUAAACAUUAGAACUGUUUACCCUAAAAUUAUUAUAUUGAGUUUUUGGUUUAUAAUUAUGUUAUAUUUAAGCUGAUAUUAUUACACUAUUUAAAGCGACAAAUAAAAUUUAAUCCCUGAUUUAACUUUGACCUUUCUUCUGCAAAUAAUGGUUGAGAGGAUGUGUUCUCAUGCCAAUCUUUUUAUUAGCAGAAUUAAUAUGAAUAAAUUAUUUUAGAAUUUUAAAAGUUUACUGAUUGAUGCUUUCUCAUCAAAACCAUUCAUAUUUGCAGGAGCAAAAAAAAAAAAAAAAAAAAAAAAA